Molecule: ribosomal RNA, 535 nt
Filed under: Strobilurus torquatus
Lineage: Eukaryota; Metazoa; Chordata; Lepidosauria; Squamata; Tropiduridae
Description: partial large subunit ribosomal RNA
Rfam family: Bacterial large subunit ribosomal RNA
Source: RNAcentral
CAGUAUUAAAGGUGUCGCCUGCCCAGUGAAAUUUUAACGGCCGCGGUAUCCUAACCGUGCAAAGGUAGCGUAAUCAUUUGUCCUCUAAAUAAGGACCAGUAUGAACGGCUAAAUGAGGGCCAACCUGUCUCCUUUAACCUAUCAGUGAAACUGAUCUGCCAGUACAAAAGCUGGCAUAAGAUUAUAAGACGAGAAGACCCUGUGGAGCUUUAAACUUUUACCCAAGCAGGCCAACCCAAGGCCCACCCUGGCCUAACAGUUUUCAGUUGGGGCGACUUCGGAACAAAACAAAACUUCCGAGCGAUAGACCUUAAUCUUCCACCAAGACAUACAAGUCUUCACACCGAUCCAGUAAUACUGAACAACGAACCAAGUUACCCCAGGGAUAACAGCGCAAUCCUCUUCAAGAGCCCAUAUCGACAAGAGGGUUUACGACCUCGAUGUUGGAUCAGGACACCCAAUUAGUGCAGCCGCUAUUAAAGGUUCGUUUGUUCAACGAUUAAUAGUCCUACGUGAUCUGAGUUCAGACCGGAGC